GAUGAACGCUGGCGGCGUGCUUAACACAUGCAAGUCGAACGGGAUCCCAGGAGCUUGCUCCUGGGUGAGAGUGGCGAACGGGUGAGUAAUGCGUGACCGACCUGCCCCAUACACCGGAAUAGCUCCUGGAAACGGGUGGUAAUGCCGGAUGCUCCGACAUGACGCAUGUCGUGUCGGGAAAGAUUCAUCGGUAUGGGAUGGGGUCGCGUCCUAUCAGCUUGAUGGCGGGGUAACGGCCCACCAUGGCUUCGACGGGUAGCCGGCCUGAGAGGGCGACCGGCCACAUUGGGACUGAGAUACGGCCCAGACUCCUACGGGAGGCAGCAGUGGGGAAUAUUGCACAAUGGGCGCAAGCCUGAUGCAGCGACGCCGCGUGCGGGAUGACGGCCUUCGGGUUGUAAACCGCUUUUGACUGGGAGCAAGCCCUUCGGGGUGAGUGUACCUUUCGAAUAAGCA
This 456-nucleotide ribosomal RNA is filed under the name uncultured bacterium. RNAcentral describes it as "bacterial SSU rRNA". It matches the Rfam family "Bacterial small subunit ribosomal RNA", at positions 28 to 492 of the family's 1533-position model. The record is from RNAcentral.